GGAAGUUUUAACUUGUUUUUAUUUGAUUUUCUCAUUUACUUCGGUCUGAGUUAUUAGCGAGCUCUCAUUACAGUGGGAGAUUCCGCUGUUUACUUGUUGUGACACUUUCAAGUGGAGCAUAAAGGAGGUGGAUUAGGGAUCAGGGGUCAGGGGUCAGGUCACGACAACAGAAUUUUUUAUUCGAUUAUUAUUCUAGCUUAAGCGACUGUCUCUCCGUCUGUUCUUUUAAAGAUUCCCCGUCUCAUUGGACACUAAUCUCUCAGAUACGAUACCCGUUCCAGCAGCUCUGAAGUCAGGAGUCAGGAGUCAGGAAAGAUGGACAGACUGCACUUAAGGACACUCAGGACACACUAGACGCAGACUUGCCGUCUGCCAGAUGCGGCAGAUACAAAGAAUCCAGAGUCGAAACAAAAAGCGAAGGAAGCAACAAAAGAUUCGAUACAACAGAAAUGAUUUCCUCCGACGGAAGAGCGAAAUUGGCAAAAACGCGAAAGGGAGACGCAGAGCGGAGUCUAUUAGCGGACAAAGGACCCGCCGGCCGGAUAGUUUUAUGAUUUUGAUAGCAUGUGACAACAGGAUGCAUGUCCUGGAAGGGGCUGCCGCCUGGAGGCCAUCAGUUAUAGCCAAAGCAUCCAUUCGAGAUGGCUUUCCCAUCACGAGUUUUAUGUCUUUCCCAUUUGCGAUAGCCUAAUGGACGCCAAGAUACGAUGCGAGGCAAAUUAGAUGUGAAGUGGGAGCAUGGGGAGCACGGCACGGAAGACCGGAGAGCACCGGGAGUGGAAGGGCAGGCAAUUAGCCUGGACAAUUGAUGCUCAUCCUUAUCGGCGUAUACGGAGGAGAUUGAACUGCGCUGCCCUGGUAAUCGUCUACAAAAUUACAAGGGAUUAUCCCUGGGAUGAUGCUGCACGGCUCUGCUGUCUCGUAAUUGGCUUUAAAGUUCUCCAGUCUGAGAGCCGCAAACUUCUUAAGGACAUGUACUCGCACUUCCUUCAUGCGUGUGCGAUUUGCAUUCCCAUCCCGCGUUGCCUGCUGGCAAAUAUCCUGUGUGUGAACGAGUCGUAAAUCUUUUGGCGGUGCGUCUGCCCCUCCGCUGCGCUCCUGGCUGGCUGGCUGGCUGGCUGGCUGGCUGGCUGUCUGCCCCAUAAAUCAUAUGCAGCCAAGUAUCCGUAAGAGAUGAGACACGAGCCAAGCAGAUUCGAGCAUUUUUACGCUCUUGACGGGCGGAACUUCGUCCCACUCAGUUCUCGUCUGCUGGGAGCCACCAAACACUCUUCAAGUUUUCAAGCUUACCAACUGCUGUGUUAAAGGUUUCCAAUUGGAGGAACAGCUUGAACAGAUUUCAGUUGUGUUUAAACCCC
This 1358-nucleotide long non-coding RNA is filed under the name Drosophila guanche. The record is from RNAcentral. Lineage: Eukaryota; Metazoa; Arthropoda; Insecta; Diptera; Drosophilidae.